ACCCAACUGACGAGUCUUAAAUAGGAUGAAACGCGCAUCUUGGAC
Schistosoma curassoni is the source of this 45-nucleotide non-coding RNA. NCBI's taxonomy places the organism in Eukaryota, Metazoa, Platyhelminthes, Trematoda, Strigeidida, Schistosomatidae. The record is from Rfam.